GCCAGGCAUGGUGGCGCAUGACUGUAAUCCCAGCUACUCAGGAGGCUGAGGCAGGAGAAUCACUUGAACCCAGGAGGUGGAGAUUGCAUUGAGCUGAGAUCGUGCCACUGCACUCUAGCCUGGGUGACAGAGCGAGACUCUGACUCAAACAAAAAAAAGUGGCCGAGCUCAGCGGCUCAAGCCUGUAAUCCCAGCACUUUAGAAGGCUGAGGUGGGUGGAUCACCUGAGGUCAGGAGUUCGAGACCAGCCUGGCUAACAUGGUGAAAGCCUGUCUCU
Molecule: small RNA, 277 nt
Filed under: Homo sapiens (human)
Lineage: Eukaryota; Metazoa; Chordata; Mammalia; Primates; Hominidae
Description: Metazoan signal recognition particle RNA (ENSG00000277592.1)
Source: RNAcentral